UCCCUCGUAGCUCAGUUGGCAGAGCAUUCGAUUGUUAAUCGACAGGUCACUGGUUCGAGUCCAGUCGGGGGAGC
Molecule: transfer RNA, 74 nt
Filed under: Streptomyces phage JustBecause
Lineage: Duplodnaviria; Heunggongvirae; Uroviricota; Caudoviricetes
Also listed under: 1 other name
Description: tRNA-Asn
Rfam family: tRNA
About the family: Transfer RNA (tRNA) molecules are approximately 80 nucleotides in length. Their secondary structure includes four short double-helical elements and three loops (D, anti-codon, and T loops).
Source: RNAcentral